GCAUCGCUGCGGGCCGGCCGGGUCAGCGCAGCGCAGCCAGGAGCGCCCGGACAGGGGAGACAGACGCGCGCUGGUGGGUGAGCACAGGUAAAGAUCACAACAUGUUGGCUGUCUGUAAUUCCUGAUAGCCUUACAAGAACUCCUGGCUUUUUCCUCCCUGACAGUCCUCAGAGAUCCUUCAGUAGGAAGCCCCCUCCCUGCAACAGCUCUAUGGUAAAGGCAUAAGGAUGGAACACACCUUGCCAGCUCAGCUCCACAACACUUCAAGGUGGGAUGAUGAGAGGGGCUUGUGCAGAGAUGCAGCCUGCGUUCAACCAGGGAUAGAGACCACAGGAUUACCAACAAGCAAGAAGGUACAGGCAGCUGAUAUCUGUCACCUCUCUGUUCUAAUCAAAAGGAGAGCAGCACAGAUCAUGGUCCUUGUCCCUGC
Molecule: long non-coding RNA, 430 nt
Organism: Ficedula albicollis (Collared flycatcher)
Lineage: Eukaryota; Metazoa; Chordata; Aves; Passeriformes; Muscicapidae
Exons: 3
Source: RefSeq, a predicted model, not a curated record